GGCCCCAUCGUCUAGUGGCCUAGGACGUAGCCCUCUCAAGGCUAAAACCGGGGUUCGACUCCCCGUGGGGUCA
Molecule: transfer RNA, 73 nt
Filed under: Anaerolineaceae bacterium 4572_5.2
Lineage: Bacteria; Bacillati; Chloroflexota; Anaerolineae; Anaerolineales; Anaerolineaceae
Also listed under: 1 other name
Description: tRNA-Glu
Rfam family: tRNA
About the family: Transfer RNA (tRNA) molecules are approximately 80 nucleotides in length. Their secondary structure includes four short double-helical elements and three loops (D, anti-codon, and T loops).
Source: RNAcentral